Molecule: ribosomal RNA, 403 nt
Filed under: bacterium
Lineage: Bacteria
Description: partial 16S ribosomal RNA
Rfam family: Bacterial small subunit ribosomal RNA
Source: RNAcentral
UGGGGAAUAUUGCACAAUGGAGGGAACUCUGAUGCAGCGACGCCGCGUGAACGAAGAAGGCUUUCGAGUCGUAAAGUUCUUUUAUAUGGGAAGAUAAUGACGGUACCAUAAGAAAAAGCCCCGGCUAACUACGUGCCAGCAGCCGCGGUAAUACGUAGGGGGCUAGCGUUGUCCGGAAUCACUGGGCGUAAAGGGUUCGCAGGCGGAAAUGCAAGUCAGGUGUAAAAGGCAGUAGCUUAACUACUGUAAGCAUUUGAAACUGCAUAUCUUGAGAAGAGUAGAGGUAAGUGGAAUUUUUAGUGUAGCGGUGAAAUGCGUAGAUAUUAAAAAGGAUGCCGGUGGCGAAGGCGACUUGCUGGGCUCAUUCUGACGCUGAGGAACGAAAGCGUGGGUAGCAAACAGG